GGCUUUUUUGGAAUCUUGUGAGAACCUAGAUAAGUUGGAAUAUUAGAAAGGCUCUCCUAUUAAAAAAGUGCAGUAAAGCAUCUUUUGCACUUGAUAUCAUAGAACCAUGCCAUGGUUUCUGCAUAUCCAGAUCGACUCCGAUGCUGCCGCUGCUCAAGAUGCUUUUCUAAGCAAAAGUUCAUGUGGACUGUGGCUUGAGGGAAAAAUUAUUUCUCAAAAGCAAAUUUGAGCAACUUGUGUUCAUUGUUGAAUAUAGCCCAUAAAUUAUUGGAAUUUUUAUUGUAUAUAUUUACAGAAUCUGCAUUUCAUAUAUGGUAAUAUCAUGACUUUGGUCAUGAUUUCCCUGUAAUUUCUAGUGUUUCAUGAAUGGAUUACAGUGUUUUACGUAUGGAAGUUGACUUUAAUCUAUUCUAUCUUAUUUUUUGGAUUACUACCAACUGCUCGUACUAUCAUUGGC
Molecule: long non-coding RNA, 457 nt
Filed under: Phoenix dactylifera (date palm)
Lineage: Eukaryota; Viridiplantae; Streptophyta; Magnoliopsida; Arecales; Arecaceae
Description: long non-coding RNA (PDAC_LNC011992)
Source: RNAcentral